GACGAACGCUGGCGGCGUGCUUAACACAUGCAAGUCGAACGGAAAGGCCCUGCUUUUGUGGGGUGCUCGAGUGGCGAACGGGUGAGUAACACGUUAGUAACCUGCCCUUGACUUUGGGAUAACUUCAGGAAACUGGGGCUAAUACCGGAUAGGAGCUCCUGCUGCAUGGUGGGGGUUGGAAAGUUUCGGCGGUUGGGGAUGGACUCGCGGCUUAUCAGCUUGUUGGUGGGGUAGUGGCUUACCAAGGCUUUGACGGGUAGCCGGCCUGAGAGGGUGACCGGCCACAUUGGGACUGAGAUACGGCACAGACUCCUACGGGAGGCAGCAGUGGGGAAUAUUGCACAAUGGGCGGAAGCCUGAUGCAGCAACGCCGCGUGCGGGAUGACGGCCUUCGGGUUGUAAACCGCUUUCGCCUGUGACGAAGCGUGAGUGACGGUAAUGGGUAAAGAAGCACCGGCUAACUACGUG
RNAcentral lists this ribosomal RNA (468 nucleotides) under uncultured bacterium. RNAcentral describes it as "partial 16S ribosomal RNA". It matches the Rfam family "Bacterial small subunit ribosomal RNA", at positions 28 to 507 of the family's 1533-position model. The record is from RNAcentral.